GUGCCAGCCGCCGCGGUAAUACCGGCAGCCCGAGUGAUGGCCGAUCUUAUUGGGCCUAAAGCGUCCGUAGCUGGCUGCGCAAGUCCGUCGGGAAAUCCACUCGCCCAACAGGUGGGCGUCCGGCGGAAACUGUGUGGCUUGGAACCGGAAGGCUCAGAGGAUACGUCCGGGGUAGGAGUGAAAUCCCGUAAUCCUGGACGGACCGCCGAUGGCGAAAGCACGUCGCGAGAACGGAUCCGACAGUGAGGGACGAAAGCCAGGGUCUCGAACCGGAUUAGAAACCCCUGUAGUCC
RNAcentral lists this ribosomal RNA (293 nucleotides) under uncultured bacterium. RNAcentral's name for it is "partial 16S ribosomal RNA". It matches the Rfam family "Archaeal small subunit ribosomal RNA", at positions 455 to 747 of the family's 1478-position model. The record is from RNAcentral.